UACGGGGGGGGCAAGCGUUGUUCGGAAUUACUGGGCGUAAAGGGCUCGUAGGCGGCCAACUAAGUCAGACGUGAAAUCCCUCGGCUUAACCGGGGAACUGCGUCUGAUACUGGAUGGCUAGAGUGUGGGAGAGGGAUGCGGAAUUCCAGGUGUAGCGGUGAAAUGCGUAGAGAUCCGGAAGAACACCAGUGGCGAAGGCGGCCCGCUGGGCAGUGGCUGACACUGAGGCGCGACAGCGUGGGGAGCAAACAGG
This 253-nucleotide ribosomal RNA is filed under the name uncultured bacterium. RNAcentral's name for it is "partial 16S ribosomal RNA". It matches the Rfam family "Bacterial small subunit ribosomal RNA", at positions 524 to 776 of the family's 1533-position model. The record is from RNAcentral.